Molecule: long non-coding RNA, 713 nt
Organism: Malus domestica (apple)
Lineage: Eukaryota; Viridiplantae; Streptophyta; Magnoliopsida; Rosales; Rosaceae
Source: RefSeq, a predicted model, not a curated record
CCUCGCUCUCUCUAUCUUGCUUCCCGAAGGUCUCCUUCUCACAUUCUCUCUGCAACUCUCUUAACUGACGUCCAAACCACCCAAACGUGACUUGUAACCUACACAUUUGAACUCACCUCAACCCUAAGAACACAACCAUGUAACCAGAUCUCGAUUUGGUUGAGGUUUGACUCACCAACUCGGAAGCUCUGACUCGGUGAGUGUUGGAUCAAAGAUUUUCAGUUUGAGUCCCAACAUUUUAGGAUUCGGGGAAGCGUCUGCACAACUCCUCGAGGUUCCUAGGACAAGUCUGAGGAAGUUUUGACGUGAAACCACCUAGUUUCAAGAAGUCUCAAUUUUUAUGUCCUUUUUGAGGCAUUUUCAGGCCACAUCCGUCCACUUUUUGGACUCCAAAAAGAUUCCGGCCAACCAAACUACGACGGACGAUGGAAUCGACGAGGAUCAUCACCGGAGAAGAUGAUGGAAUAUUUUGUCAAAGUUGACGGAAUAUUCUAACGGCGUCAGGCGAAACGUAUCCCAAGGAUGUACGGGGUUAAGCAAGGCUCAGAGGCUUCAUUUCAAUUGCAUAUCUGUGCGUGGAUAUUUUGUUUUUAUACCUAUACAUAGUUAUAGUUUCCAUAAAUGUGUAGUUACUUCAUUUUUACGCUUAUAUUGCCAAGUAUCGUUAUUGUGAUAUUAAAUGUGAUAAAUGCUGCUAUAUGGUUGGGAUAUUA